Peromyscus californicus insignis is the source of this 3060-nucleotide long non-coding RNA. RefSeq lists it as uncharacterized. The transcript has 4 exons. NCBI's taxonomy places the organism in Eukaryota, Metazoa, Chordata, Mammalia, Rodentia, Cricetidae. The record is from RefSeq and is a predicted model, not a curated record.
UAAAGGGGCAAUGCCGCGACGAAAGCGUUCGUGUGGGGCCCGCCAGGCGUCGCUGGCCGCCUCGUCUCCCGAGGGGACGUUUCUGACUGGGCUGCAGCUGUGCGAGCCGCCGAGCCCCAAGGCCUGACUGAGCCUUCCUCAGAAGGCUGUGAGCGGCCCUGUUUCCUGCCCCUGGGGAAGGAAGUGGCGCUGAGUGAUAAUCACCAGAGCAACCCUGGGACACACCCCUUCUGUGGAGAAAGACGGACAACAGGAUACUCAUCUACCCUUGUGAGCUGUGGGAUGUGCUAGUGUUUUGUCUCCGGAGGUGGAGGUGGUGAUUUCAUUGCCUCCAAAGAGCAUACAUGAUUCAUGGACUGCCCUUCGUGACUGCAGUAACCCCCUUCGAGGCUGUGAAAGCUUAGACAGAGAAAAGGCUGCACAGAAGUGAAGUUUGCCAGAUGACUGACUUCAUCAGUGCAAGGUAAUGCACCUGUCAGCAUUGCAGCUGAGGCAGAAGAUGGAGCGGGAAUACCGCAAAGUCACUGUAAACACAGCUGCUUACGGCCCUGCUCCAGGGAAGGUUCCCCAGUCAGUGUAACAACUCCGCUCCGGCAGGGGAGGGUUUCCCCAGAGAAGUUGUUACAGCUCUGCUCAGCACCCCUGGAGCAUAACAACUCUUCCCCAGUGAAAGUGUCACAGUUCUGCUCUUGCUCUCUGGCUCUGGCAAAAGUUAUUAGAGCUGGGCUCCACUCCAGCAAAAAUGUUACACUCCACAACAAACCUCACUCAAGAGAUUUAUUGGGAAGGAAGAAUCCAGGAGGGUGGCUGCCCCUGAGGUGAGAAGCAGCAGAGAACUGAACAGGGUGCAGAGCUUAUGGUGGGGGGGCAGCUUUCCAGGGUAGCUUGGGAUUGGUGGAUUUUGUGGUCUGAUUCUGGGGCAAGCUGAGGGAUUGGUGGGAUUCUGCAGCCUGACUCUGGGGCAAGCUCAGGGAUUCGUGGGAUUUCAAGCCCUGGUCCUGGGGGUCAGGUCAGGGUGUUUUUCCUUGGGCCAGAUCUCAGGUCUGCUCAGGGGCACAGUGUUUUUUCCUUAGCUCUUUUCGCCCUAUAGCAUGGGUGGACACUGACAACCUACUUACUCAGGAGAGUUGCUGAGAUCUCUGGAUGUUGGGGCCUGGAUCCUGGGUACAGAGGCCAUCUCAGGUGAAAGUUCAUCUCUUGUCCUUGGUCAUUUACUGGAAUGGGAAUGGUGCUGAGCUGGUGACCUUAUUCUGGAAAAUAUGGGUUGAUAUUGAUUUUCUACAACAAAACCUUUGGUGCUUAGAGCAUGGCAAAGGUAACCAGGCAGAAGAAACUCCACCAGAGCGCUGAACCCAGGCUUUGGGGUUGUUACUGUCUGCACAAGAUAGACUGUGAAUUUCAGAAAAAUGGCUUGAUUAUUAUUGGUAAUCGAUAAAUUUGUCCUUCCGUGUGUGACCAUUUCUUUUGAAUUGUUUCUUAUCCCUUCUUUGGUCAGUCCGAUUGUGCCAUUAAAGCCAUGCCUGCCCCUUCCCCCUUCCGCAGAGAAUCCUUUUUUCAUCAGAGUAAAUGUGUCUGAUAUCUUAAAGGUUGUAGGGUUGUGUGUAUGUGUUUUUUUAAAGUAUGCUUUACUAUGAUAUUAAGAUGAAUGAGCAUUCUUCUGUUGAACCUUAGAGGGUUGUGAGUAGUGAAGGCCAUUGGGAAAACACAUGACAAAACUUGGAUUCCUGAAUUUGGAAAUAUAAGAACACCAGCUCUGUUAACCAACUCUGCCUGCUGCAUCAGGAGACACGCCAGGAUAUCCAAGGUGACCAUUGCUCACUCCACUGAUACUGAGUACCUGUCAUAUGCAUUUCUGAUGGCUGGACCUUUUCAAAGUCCUUUGAGCUUUCUGGUACCUUCUCCCUUCCCUUUAAUGCUUUCAAAUGCCUCUGCCCGCCUCAUUAGUUAGAGUAUAGGACACUGUAAACACCAGCACUUCUCUGUCCCUUUAGUACACAGCACCACCUUGAUCAUAGGUAUAGGCUUAAAUCAUAGGACAAGAGAGGGAGUGAGUGUAACAACCUACUUGACAUAAAAUACAAGGGAAAAGGCGGGCGAUGGUGGUGCACACCUUUGAUGCCAGCACUCAGGAGGCAGAGGCAGGCAGAUCUCUGAGUUCGAGGCCAGCCUGGUCUACAGAGCAAGUUCCAGGACAGCCAGGGCUACAGAGAAACCCUGUCUUGAAAAACCAACCAACCAAACAAACAAACAAAGAAACAAACAAAACAACAAAAAACCCUAAAAACAAAAACAAAAAACAAAACAAAGGAAAAUUCAUCAUAGAAAUGCCAGAGCUUCUAUAUCCUUAUAGAGGCUUUGAGAAUCAGAUAGUUCUUGGAAGCACUCUAAAGUAAGGAAAUAAUCACAGACAGAGGAAGCUUUGUACCCGGAACCCUCAAUCAGUGAUGUGCAGCAUGAUGAAAAGCUGGCCCAUUAGUCGCACAACUGCCUAAGUAGAAAAUGGAAUGCCUAUUCAUAUUCUCAUGAAGAUUUUAUAAAUAGGAUGAAUGUCCUUAUUUGGGGAUUAGGAAUAAUAACUAAUAAUAGCUAACACUUUUGUAACAUUUAGAGCAUUAGAACUGGGCAUGAUGUAAGGCUUUAGAUAAAUUAACUUCCCAUGCUCCUAUGCUCAGUAUGGAAUGGGGAGAGGGUUAGCCAAGUUCUGUCAGAAUUUUUUGUUUGCUAGUAACAGAAACCCCCCCUCAUGAAUAACAAAAGGCAUUCAGUGGAUCAGCAUGAGAAGAUUGGGGUGGAGCUGAAGGCUCUCUCUCUCUCUCUAUGUAGGUGUUCCAUGAGGCUGGCCAGACGUGGGCUUCAUUUUAAGACAUCUUGGUGGCGUAAUACCUGACAGCACACCUGAUGCCCUCCAACUAAAAUAUAAAAGGCCUAGUUUGUGGUUUGAAUAAAACCCUAGAUCUGAGUCUCACUAGUCCAAAUUGAAGGCCAGGGAAAUGCAAUCUCCCAUUGGCCAAAUCUGGAGUGGAGAAGGCCAUUCUCUGAUAGGCCAAGCCUGAGCAGGCA